RNAcentral lists this ribosomal RNA (256 nucleotides) under uncultured bacterium. RNAcentral's name for it is "partial 16S ribosomal RNA". It matches the Rfam family "Bacterial small subunit ribosomal RNA", at positions 524 to 776 of the family's 1533-position model. The record is from RNAcentral.
CACGGGGGGGAGCAAGCGUUGUUCGGAAUCACUGGGCGUAAAGGGCGUGUAGGCGGUCAGGUAAGUGGGAUGUGAAAUGCCCCGGCUCACCCGGGGGACCGGCAUCCCCAUACUGCUUGGCUUGAGUACGGGAGAGGAUGUGGGAAUUCCUGGUGUAGCGGUGAAAUGCGUAGAUAUCAGGAGGAACACCGGUGGCGAAGGCGCACAUCUGGCCCGAUACUGACGCUGAGGCGCGAAAGCUAGGGGAGCAAACGGG